RNAcentral lists this ribosomal RNA (497 nucleotides) under uncultured bacterium. RNAcentral's name for it is "partial 16S ribosomal RNA". It matches the Rfam family "Bacterial small subunit ribosomal RNA", at positions 28 to 507 of the family's 1533-position model. The record is from RNAcentral.
GAUGAACGCUGGCGGCGUGCCUAAUACAUGCAAGUCGAGCGAACGGACGAGAAGCUUGCUUCUCUGAUGUUAGCGGCGGACGGGUGAGUAACACGUGGAUAACCUACCUAUAAGACUGGGAUAACUUCGGGAAACCGGAGCUAAUACCGGAUAAUAUUUUGCACCGCAUGGUUCAAAAGUGAAAGACGGUCUUGCUGUCACUUAUAGAUGGAUCCGCGCUGCAUUAGCUAGUUGGUAAGGUAACGGCUUACCAAGGCAACGAUGCAUAGCCGACCUGAGAGAGGGAUCGGCCACACGGGAACUGAGACACGGACCAGACUCCUACGGGAGGCAGCAGUAGGGAAUCUUCCGCAAUGGGCGAAAGCCUGACGGAGCAACGCCGCGUGAGUGAUGAAGGUCUUCGGAUCGUAAAACUCUGUUAUUAGGGAAGAACAUAUGUGUAAGUAACUGUGCACAUCUUGACGGUACCUAAUCAGAAAGCCACGGCUAACUACGUG